RNAcentral lists this long non-coding RNA (574 nucleotides) under Lathyrus oleraceus (garden pea). RNAcentral's name for it is "Pisum sativum (pea) long non-coding RNA (PSAT_LNC003400)". The record is from RNAcentral. Lineage: Eukaryota; Viridiplantae; Streptophyta; Magnoliopsida; Fabales; Fabaceae.
AGUAAAUAUCAUUGUAAUCUGAUGUGAUGCUGUUAUUUGAACAAGAGCUGAGAUACAUGAUGAUUAUGUAUUUCUCAGUUUAACACUUGAGUGUGUGACCUUGAUGAGUUAAAAAUUAAAUGUGAACUUAGUGUGUUAUUUUUAAAAUAAUGAAUUGAUUUUGAUAAAAAAUAGAUUAAAUGUAAAGUGGUGUCUAAGGUGACGGCCUUGUUUGAUAGUAGGAUUUCAAUGUUUAUAUGAAUGUUAAUCACCAUGCACCAUCAACAUCUAUGUCAUGCCUUUGUGCUCUCAAUCCUUCAACAUCUAUGUCAUGCCUUUGUGCUCUCAAUCCUUCAGCUCUCCGAAAAAGCUUUAACUGCAGUUGCUGAGUAAAUAUCAUUGUAAUCUGAUGUGAUGCUGUUAUUUGAACAAGAGCUGAGAUACAUGAUGAUUAUGUAUUUCUCAGUUUAACACUUGAGUGUGUGACCUUGAUGAGUUAAAACAUUAAAUGUGGAACUUAGUGUGUUAUUUUUUAAAAUAAUGAAUUGAUUUUGAUAAAAAAUAGAUUAAAUGUAAAGUGGUGUCUAAGGUGAGC